This 249-nucleotide long non-coding RNA is filed under the name Manihot esculenta (cassava). RNAcentral's name for it is "long non-coding RNA (MESC_LNC009011)". The record is from RNAcentral. Lineage: Eukaryota; Viridiplantae; Streptophyta; Magnoliopsida; Malpighiales; Euphorbiaceae.
ACUCAGCAAUUGCAGAGAUAGAUGAGGAAUUAGAGGAUUUUAGAGAUGCCUGGUAUUGGAUGAAUUGUGCAUACUCAUCUGCAGAUAUCAAAAUUUCCUGAUCGGAAGAUCCAUUCAAUUUGUGUUCCGUAAUUUUAGUCAUCAUAGGAAUCACAUCAGUUACGGUGGUGGUUUUAACUUCAGCCAUAAGGACAACCAACCCAAAACGAUAGCAACAAAAGAAACACAGAAUCAAAAAACAGUACCCGG